AUGAUGCGUCGCGGGGUUGCCGGCAUGGCGCUGCUGCUCGUGCUGCUUCUCCUCCUCUCGGGGUGGUCGGCGAUGGGGACUCCGCGUUCACGCGAGAGAUGGGAGGAGGGGGAGGGGGAGUGGCGGCCGGAGGAAGAGGCCAAGGGCGGCGGCGGGAGUGGCGGGACUGGGAAAGGCCUGUUCUUGCUGGACAAGGUGGAGAAGGUGGUGGAGUCGGAAGGUGGGAGUGUGCACGUCGUGCGCGGGCUGCCCGUGCCGGAAGCACCGUGGCAGCACGGCGGGUGGUCCGCCGAGUGCGGAGCUUGCCGGGAGGGGCUCAUGCACAUCGGCUUCAUAACCAUGGAGCCCAAGACGCUGUUCGUGCCGCAGUACAUCGACUCCAACCUCAUCCUCUUCGUGCAGCGAGGGGAUGUGAAGGUUGGAUGGAUCCACAAGGGCGGUCUCGUGGAGAAGCAGCUCAAGAUGGGCGACGUCCUACAGAUCGACGCCGGCUCCAUCUUCUACAUGGUCAACACAGGCAAAGGCCAGAGGCUGCACAUCAUAUGCAGUAUCGACGCCUCGGAUAGCGCAGGCUUCGCACCUUAUCAGUCCUUCUAUCUUGGUGGGGGAGGGAAACAGACCUCAGUGCUGGCCGGAUUCGAGCCAAAGAUUCUUGUCACCGCUCUCAACACCACUUACGACGAACUGGGAAGAAUCUUACCCGUGCGAACCGGUGGAACCGGGGGCCCUUUCGUGUCCUACACAACGGAGUCCGGGAGCGGUGGCAAAGAGCAUGGACAGGGAGGCGAGCGUGAUGUGGGGGAAAAUGGAAGGGAGAGCGAGCCAUGGAGACCAGUGGGGAGAGGCGACGACGACGAACCCGGUAGCGGGCAAUCCACUUGGACUUGGUCGUGGAGGAAACUGAUGAGCAGGUUCAUCGGAGGGGAGCUGAACAAGAAGUCGGACAAGACUCUGCGCGCGCCGGAGCCUUACAACCUGUUCGACCACGAGCCCAGCUUCCGGAACACCUAUGGCUGGAGCAUCUCCGUCGACAAGCACGACUACGAGCCCUUGGACCACUCCGACAUCGGCGUCUAUCUCGUCGACCUCACCGCCGGCUCGAUGAUGGCGCCACACGUGAACCCGAGGGCAACGGAGUACGGCGUGGUGCUCGCCGGGGAAGGCGUCAUCCAGGUGGUCUUCCCCAACGGGUCGCUUGCGAUGAGCGCGGAGGUGCGUGCCGGCGACGUGUUCUGGAUCCCACGCCACCUCCCGUUCGUCCAGGUGGCGUCGCGGGGCGGGCCGUUCGUGUUCUUCGGGUUCACCACGUCGGCGCGGCGGAACAAGCCGCAGUUCCUGACCGGCCCCACCUCUGUCCUCCGCAUGAUGCUCGGGCCGGAGCUCGCGGCCGGGUUGGGCGUCCCUCAGAAGGAAUUGAGGAAGGUGGUGGAGGCCCAGACGGUGGCGGUGAUCGAGCCGCCGUUGCCGGAGAAGGAGAAGGGGCGGAAGGAGAGGGAACCGUUUGUUAUGAAGCAAGUGGCGAGGGAGUGA
This 1530-nucleotide ribosomal RNA is filed under the name Triticum aestivum (bread wheat). Its description in RNAcentral is "partial small subunit ribosomal RNA". The record is from RNAcentral. Lineage: Eukaryota; Viridiplantae; Streptophyta; Magnoliopsida; Poales; Poaceae.